This 672-nucleotide ribosomal RNA is filed under the name Triticum aestivum (bread wheat). RNAcentral's name for it is "partial small subunit ribosomal RNA". Lineage: Eukaryota; Viridiplantae; Streptophyta; Magnoliopsida; Poales; Poaceae. The record is from RNAcentral.
AUGGGAAGAACCAAUGUUAAUCCUGUUUGGCGUAAGAUUUGGAAAUUAUCCUGUCCAACAAAGGUAAAGAUUUUCAUCUGGCGUACCUUACAUGGAACCCUCCUGUGUUGUGCCACACUUGCUAAUAGGCACAUAAAAGUAUCACCCACUUGUCCUUCAUGCUCCAAUGGGGCAGAAGAUACGAAACACGUUUUACUCUUGUGUCAAAAGGCAAGAGAGGUAUGGGGCAAGCUAGGAUUGCAUGAGGUGAUCAAUAAAGCUUGUGUUGUUGAUCGUGCGGGAGAGGCGGUUUUGGAAUUCUUACUAUUAAUGCCCGAACAAGACUUAACAAUAAUGGGUUCUCAGAAAGCAAGUGAACUGAUCGCGGUUACAUCUUGGUAUUUAUGGUGGGAUAGACGCAAACUGGUUCAUGAAGGAAAGGUUCAAGACGCACUCCAAACUUCUAUGGGUGCCCUGGCUAUAACGGCUAACUAUAUUGAUGCACACCACCCAAAGGCAACUAGUAAAACAGGGGGUUGGAGCAGACCGCCUAUGGGUUUUGUUAAACUUAAUGUUGACGCCUCUUUUGACCAUGAUUUACUUAGGGGCACAGCUGGAGCUAGUCUCAGAGAUGAUAAUGGAAGAUUCAUCGUUGGUGGAACUGGAGGAUUGAUUGGUGUGCCAAUGUAUUAA